GUAGGGAAUAUUGCGCAAUGGACGAAAGUCUGACGCAGCGACGCCGCGUGAGUGAUGAAGGCCUUAGGGUCGUAAAGCUCUGUUGAAUGGGAAGAAAAAAAUGACGGUACCAUUCGAGGAAGGACCGGCUAACUUCGUGCCAGCAGCCGCGGUAAUACGAGGGGUCCUAGCGUUGUUCGGAAUCAUUGGGCGUAAAGGGUGUGUAGGUGGCCAUGUAAGUCAGGUGUGAAAGCCCCGGGCUCAACCCGGGAAGUGCACUUGAUACUGCGUGGCUUGAGUACCGAAGAGGGUAGUGGAAUUCCAGGUGUAGUGGUGAAAUACGUAGAUAUCUGGAGGAACACCGGUGGCGAAGGCGGCGCUCUGGGCUGUAACUGACGCUGAGGAGCGAAAGUGUGGGUAGCAAACAGGAUUAGAUACCCGUGUAGUCC
This 428-nucleotide ribosomal RNA is filed under the name uncultured bacterium. RNAcentral's name for it is "partial 16S ribosomal RNA". It matches the Rfam family "Bacterial small subunit ribosomal RNA", at positions 354 to 796 of the family's 1533-position model. The record is from RNAcentral.